CCUACGGGUGGCAGCAGUGGGGAAUAUUGGACAAUGGGCGAAAGCCUGAUCCAGCCAUGCCGCGUGUGUGAAGAAGGCCUUCGGGUUGUAAAGCACUUUCAGUGGGGAAGAAAGCCUUGGGGCUAAUACCCUCGAGGAAGGACAUCACCCACAGAAGAAGCACCGGCUAACUCCGUGCCAGCAGCCGCGGUAAUACGGAGGGUGCGAGCGUUAAUCGGAAUUACUGGGCGUAAAGCGCGCGUAGGCGGUCUGAUAAGCCGGUUGUGAAAGCCCCGGGCUCAACCUGGGAACGGCAUCCGGAACUGUCAGGCUAGAGUGCAGGAGAGGAAGGUAGAAUUCCCGGUGUAGCGGUGAAAUGCGUAGAGAUCGGGAGGAAUUCCAGUGGCGAAGGUGGCCCUCUGGACUGACACUGACGCUGAGGUGCGAAAGCGUGGGUAGCAAACAGGAUUAGAUACCCCUGUAGUC
RNAcentral lists this ribosomal RNA (465 nucleotides) under Vreelandella stevensii. Its description in RNAcentral is "partial 16S ribosomal RNA". It matches the Rfam family "Bacterial small subunit ribosomal RNA", at positions 338 to 795 of the family's 1533-position model. The record is from RNAcentral. Lineage: Bacteria; Pseudomonadati; Pseudomonadota; Gammaproteobacteria; Oceanospirillales; Halomonadaceae.